UGCAAACAACCCUUCCGCAUCAAGAGAGAUAAACAGAGCCCUUUCGCACCAAGAGAGAUAAACAGAGCCCUUCCGCAUCAUUCAGAAAAAUCGGAAGACUGAGCAAUGGCAACGUUCUCUCAUUCAACUCUCUUAUGCUUCACAUUCAGAAGCCACAAACACUUCUAUUGACCUUGUUCUUUUCAUCUCUGAUUCUACUCUCUUAUUCUUCAAAAUCGGAAGCCAUACUCAUUUGACCUAGUUAUCGAAACCUUAAACUUGGAGAAGGUGAGGGGGAAACUGCUACAAUUGAAGCGGGUUAUCACUAUGUGCUAGAAUGGAUAAUUUGCUUGCCUGAAUUUUGAAGUACUUGUGUUGAAGUUAAGAAUCAGUGUGUUCUCUGUUGGAAGAAGUUGGAUUGGUUCUGUGGUUGCAUUGGAUCAUCUUUCUCAAAGGACUGAUAUUGACGCAUCUAGAAUAGUUGUAUUUGGACGAUCACUUGGUAGUGCAGUUGGAGCUGUACUAACAAAAAAUAACCCUGACAAGGUACCCCUUGGACCUUGGUAAACUAUAUAAUGUUUAAUGUUCAUGUUGUUCUUCGUAAAAAUCUAAUGAUCUUGGAUUUUAGUUGUCACCAUGGACAAUUGCUUGCUAGAUUUCAGUUGCCUGAAGAUAAAUGUUUCCUUGGAAUGUUAGUACUAUAUGUAAUUAUAGUUUGCUAGGUUCACAAGGCAUACAGCAAGACCAUAUAUAUAGCUGCAAAUUAGUUUGCUAAAGUUUCUUUUCCUGUUGAUAGAUUCAUAACUCAUUUCAUGAUUUUCAACAUUAUGUGAGAAAGGAAUAUUCAAUUAAUGUGGAUGCAUUUGUGGGGAAACUAUAUCAACUGAGGAAAAACAACGUAGUUUUUAACUAAUUAAAAUUAUUUUUGAUAAUUAGGAUCAGGAUUAGUUUAUUUUCUGAAUUUUGUUUAUGUUUUUUUGUCUCGAUAAGAUUCUAAGUUACAGAAUCCUUAUCUGUUCUGGUUUUUUUAAUUUUUUUAUAGUUAUGAUCCAAUCAAUUAGGAUCCCUUUCUUAUAUGUAGCCUUAUAAAAGGACAGACUUCUAUCGGGGGAAUGAACGAAGAAACUAUUAGUCUAGGAGGGGCUCUGUUGUCCAGAGUCUGUUACUAACUUUUACUGUAGGUCGCAAGUAGGAGUCUUCUAUAUCUAGGCUAGUGACUUGGUCCUACGUGGAAGUCUACAAGUUAACAUGAUUUUAGGUUCCAAUUGCAAAGUAUUUGACAUGAGUUUCACUUUGAAGUAUGAGAAUAUAGUGUGCAGUUUUUAAGGCCUUGGGUUCUCAAAAUACAACAGCUAGCUUCUGUGACAUGGUUUUCCCAUUUGGUAUCAAUCAGACUGGUCAUCUGUGCGUUAUAACACUGUUAUAGUGGCGUCACAUAGUGAUGUGGCCAUGGGCUGCUCUGUGGAAGCCCAUCAUGUCACAGGCCAUUGUUGUGCCUGAGUGUGAAUCAAAGCUGCUGUUGCAUCAGAGACAAAAACCCUUCUCUUUUGGCCACUAACAAUGUUGUUUGGUGCUCUUUAAUGGGUGGGAGGAGAUCUAAUAAUUUUUUAACCAAAAUCAUGCAUCUUCAAUUUUUUAAGAAUUUUCAUU
Molecule: non-coding RNA, 1629 nt
Organism: Cajanus cajan (pigeon pea)
Lineage: Eukaryota; Viridiplantae; Streptophyta; Magnoliopsida; Fabales; Fabaceae
Source: RefSeq, a predicted model, not a curated record